AGAGUUCCACUGGAACACCGUAUCCUACCGUAUAUGUUUACCUUGUAUCAUGAUAAUUGUUUCAUGCUAAAAUGUCAACAUGAAAUCCUGAACUAUGCCUGUGAUAUGCUCCAUACCUGUUACCUGACCAAUGUACUUAUAUCAUGAUACCUGUCUCAUGAUAAAUGUCUCAUACCAUGAUAAAUAUCUCAAAUUACUCGUACAAUGAUUAUCACCUCAUGAUAACACGCCAUUGUGUAACAUUGAACCAUGCAUAUGAUAUGCCCAACUUACUUGAUUUAUUUGAACUGUUAGAGUGUCUUGGAACCUCACUGGGCUGUGUAGCUCAUCCCACGUUGUGGUUUUCUUUUACAGGGUUCGAGACCAAGGGUGCUCGUGAGUAGUACUAGAUUGUUUUCUUUUGAAAACUUUAAGUUAUAUUAUAACGGAUGGCUAUUGUACCCUUUUCCGUUGGGUUGUAUUUAAGCUUGGAAGCUGCAUAAUUGUAAGUGUGAGAUAUUUGGAGUACUUUAAUUAUGUAUUGAAGUUACUUAAAGUAUUUCGAGCUUUUGAAUGAUGGAUUGUAGUGAGUCCUGGCGAGAGCUGGGCAGGCGUCCCGCGGAUACCCUUUGGUUCGCCUUAGGGAGAAGUGGGGGCUACAAUUGGUAUCAGAGCUUAGGCUUCAGAUUUUGUAGUGUAUCCUAGGCUUAAAUGUUUAGGAUGCCGGACUGUGGGACUAUUCUGAAAGUUAAAUGAUUGCUUGUAGUGAUGAAAUUUAGAGCCACUUCACGUGGUCUCUACAAAGGAGCAAGAUAGGGCCAAGUGGUGUUUGGUCCUUACUAUGUGAUUAAGUAAAGACUUAAGUGCCCUUCUAGAAAUGUAAGUUGUGAAUCAUGAAUGUUAUAGGUUGUAAAACCUUUAUCUUGAUAAUUGGAGGGAAUUUGAUAUGUAUGUUGGGUAGGAAUCUCGAAUGUGGUGAUUUACUCUUGGACCGGCCGGCUCGAGAUGUGAAUUAUCCUAUUUUGGAUUCUUGCCCGAGUACUUGGAGUGGAAAGCAACCAUAGGACUUUAUAUCUCCAUUUGUGGGGAAUAAGAAUGAAUCGAUAUUUCAUGUGAAUGGUUACAGGAAACCAAUAAUUGUUUGGUUAAGAUGGUACAAUAAUUAAGAGUGGAAGAUGGAAAAUAUCGUAACCCAAAAGAUCCUUGUGUUGGGAUUGAAAUCGAGCAUGUUAGGGAACGAGAAUCGUCUAGUUCCAAUUAAUCUAGUGAAUCUCUACUGGUGAUCUUUCAUAGUGAGACGAUGGGAGUAGAACUUAAGAGUUUGCGCCUUGGAGAUGAAUGUACUUGUGAUAAUCACUUGUUUAUUUUUGUUAUUGACUUUGACUUGGCAUGAACUUUACUUGGCCAUAAUUUGUGUUAUGAUUUAAUGAACUCUAGUUUGUGUUUACUUGCAUAGUGAUAAUGUUAUUUGUGAAAGUGUCUUCAUCCUCUUUAAAUGUUGCUACUGGUAUAUGAGUGUAGUUCAAUUUUAACUAAGUGUGAGGGUUAUGCAUGUGCGUAUAGAUUAGUUGUGGACAUGGAAACUAGAGGACAACGAAAGGGACGUCAACCUAGACAACCCCGAAAUGAAAGAGUAGCUAAUGGGUCCGAUAUCGAUCAAAACGUUGAGCUAAGUGCUGGGAGAGGAAAUGACCAGAUAGGACAAGUUUUAACUCGCAUGACGGAUAUCCUAGAGCUCUUGGUAGCUCAACAAGGUCAAGGUGUUGGACAAGGAAACCAACGUGGAAACCAAGAGAUAGGGGAGGAUCGAGCUUUAGAGCGGUUUCAGAAAUUCUCCCGCCCAAGUUUGCUGGAGGGCCUGAUCCAGAGGUGGCUGAGAAUUGGUUAGAAAUAUAAGAAAUAUAUUCGAUGCCUUGGAUUACACAGAGGAGAGACAAGUCACAUUUGCUGUAUUUCAACUUGAAGGAGCAGCCCGAGCAUGGUGGAAUGUUAUAAGAAACAAGUGGGAAAGAGAUCAAACUCCGAGAAUUUGGAUAAACUUCGUGCGUGAAUUUAAUGAGAAAUUUCUUCCUCCACUUGUCCAAGAAAAGAGAGAAGAUGAUUUUAUAAAGCUUCGUCAAGGAACUUUAAGCGUAGCUGAGUAUGAAACACGCUUUACGAAGUUAUCUACAUAUGCCCCAGAAUUGGUGGCUACUGAACGGAAGAGAAUAAGACGGUUUAUCCAAGGAUUAGAUUUGGAAAUCCAAGAUGCCCUUGCCGCAGCACAGGUUGAAACAUUUAGUGACGCUCUUGAAAAAGCGCAAAGGGUAGAAAGUACAAAAUCUCAACUGAGAGCUUUUCAAGCAAGGAAAAGAGAUUGCAUCUGAUAGUACACCAGGAGGAAAUGAACCACCACCCAAAGUUAGAAAAGAGUGGAUGGAUAGUGGUAGACUAUCACUUCCUGCACCACUCAUGAUAAAGAACCAAAAGGAACUAUGUCAGCACGAGGGACUUCAGUAGGACAAACACGACCAAAGAAAACCUCGCAAGUAAGUCAGGUCGCAACACCUCGUCCGACUUGUGGAUAUUGUGGAAGGACGAAUCACACUGAAGAAAACUGUUGGCUAAAGGGACAAAAGUGUAUGGGGUGUGGAAGUACCAACCAUAAAGUUCAUGACUGUCCAAGGAGGUAUCCGCGAGAAACUACUUCAACAAGGAAAUGGAACUGUUCCUCGACAAGUCAAUGGAAGGAGAAACCGACCAGUGACAUCUGAAAGAACGCAUGACAUGAAACACACACGCGGUUCAGAGUUGUCCGAGAUUACAGAAGGUAUGAAUUUCGAGGACGAAAUUCUUUUAAGGAGGGGAGGUUGUGAGGACUCGCAAAAUUUACUUAUUUAAUCUCCUAUUUCUAGCUUAUUUAAUUAUUUAUUUGGCCUUUUGCUCCGAAUAUUAUUUUCUAAGUUCUUGAGAUCUAAUUACAUGAAAAUAUAGUUUCAUUAUAUUUUUAAAAUGACUUGUUUCAAAAAUUAAUUUUCGGAAGCUCGUUUUGUAAAAAUAGUGAACACGUCUUUGGAAAUCUUGAUCGAUUGAGAGUACAAUAGGUUUGAAAUAUUGGAGACAUGUACAAUGGACCUAAAAUAGGCAUUUUAAUGUUUAAAUACUCAAGUGAUGGUUAGUAGUACGGACGUUAUAAGAAUUUCUCGGAGGUUUCGCGUUAUAGCGAUAAAAUUGACGGUACACGUUUCCACACGCGUGACUUUAUUUGAGGGACUUUAGACCCUUAUUUCGGGAUAAUUAAGAGUGAAUAUUAUCUACAUGAAUAUAAGUGCAUUAGAGGUUUAGUGCACUAGUGAACCAAACGCGCGAGAAAUCGAGCCGAAACGCGCCCAAACGCACCAAACGCACCCUAGUGAGAGUUGACUUUGGGGAUGAUUUUUGCACCACACAUUGUGUCUUCCUUAAGAAGCUAAAUUUAGACCAAACACUCUCUCUCCUAGUCUCUCUCUUGGCCGAAUUCUCUGCAGCAAAAACACAACACAAAGUUGCCAUUUUCAUCCUCAAUUCUUGCACAAAAACUUCAUGGAUUCACACCAAAUUUGAACUACACUUAGCUUGUCACGUGGAGAGAUCAUCUAGCUAGAAAAAGGAGGAGUUUCUCACGGUUUCUUGGAGCAUCUUGAGGACCGAAAUUUCUGGUUUAAAGCAACAAGGAGGUAUAACCUCAUCCUACACCUUAAGCUUGGUUUAUGAUGGUAGAAAUGCAUCCUUAAGCUAUUGCAUGUGUAUGGGUAUCUUGAUAUUGUUGGAAAAAUGUGAAAGUGGGCUCUAUGGAUUCCCACACUUGGGUUGUUGCUGAUUUGAUGAUUGAUGGUGGAUAUAUUGUUGGUUUAGUGGUUAAAAUGAUGGAUUAAUGGUGUGUAAUUGACAGAAAUUUCAUUGGGUGCAAGAGGCAAAAGUUUCCGAUUUUACCCCUGCCUUGUCCGACCACUUUUGUGCAAAAUUUUGAAGUUCUAAUGGCUUGAUUAUGUUGUUUACAUGUUAUUGUGAGUGUGUACAAAAUUUCAUUGAAAAAUAACAUGAUUUGGUUGGUCAAAUGAAUUGAUUUCGAAAGUUAGCAAAUCUGGAAAAUGAUUCCCGUAUUGACCAGGCAGUCAUUUUGUAUCGGCUAUAACUCUUUACUCCGAUGUCGAAAUCAAGUGCCGUUUGCGGCAUUGGAAACUAGACAUUCCCAGCUUUCCAUUGGUACUAAAUUCGCGUUCUGGUUCCACUUGAGUGAGCCACACCAUUCGUUUGAAAAUCACUGCCCUGUUUCGUUGCUCUCCAGGAGACAGGACAGAAAUUUCUUCUUGAUGCUCAAAAACGAGCUGUUUGUGGAUAGAAUUUGGAAAUGGUUUCUUCUGAGAAAAUUCAGCUUUAUGAGAGAGAUUUCUAACGCCAUCAACACGCUCAAUUCCAAGUUGAAUUGAGUGAGUUGUGGCCAUAUUUCGAAACUGAUGCAGUGAGUAAAAAUCCUCUUUUGACUAGUUAAAUGGCCUAGCUUGAUUUGGGACUUGUUGUUUUGGAAAAUUUGAUGUCCAACAUCUACCAAACUUUAUAUUAGAUGUUUCUUGGACUUUGUUUUACAAAUAAACCAGAUUUGGGUUGGUUGCUUUGGACAAAAUAUUUAAAAAGGAAAGAAGAGCUAGAAGACAGUUUUACCUUGGGAAAUUUCCUGAACUUUGAUGGUUUAGUUAACUACCUUCCCGUGUGAAUUUUCAAAUGAAAUUUGGUAGAAGAGUAAUCCUCAUAUGGAGGUUUAAUUGUACAAAAUUUGGUAAUAUUCUAAGACCAUUUUGAUAUGCAAAUGAUGUCACAAAAUUCGCUCAUCGAAUCUGGAAAACUUUUGUUUUCUCUUAGCCGAAUGGCAAAUCUGAUUUGGAGAGUUUUAUUUCGAAAAUUUGGAUGUCAAUGGUCUUUAAAUUGCUCAGUGAAUGUUUAUGAACUCCUGGUUUCAAUAAUGGAGAGAUUUGGAACUGAUUUCAUGGUACAAAAAGUUUGUAAACAAAAGAAAAGUGAGAAGGUAGUUUAGCCUUGAAACUCUUCAUAAACUUUGGUUGUUUUAAUGACUACCUUACCGUGUGAGUUUUUGUAUGAACUUGUAGAAAUGUUGUUCACAUAUGGAAGAUUUAGUGUACCAAGUUUUAUGUAUUUCCACUGCCAACUUGAUGACCAAAUGAUAUUUCAAAUCUAGUUUUAAACCUGGAAAAUAGCCCAACAGUCUUAACUUUUUCAGCAACUUGGAGGUACUAUAUCUUGGUGCUCGAAACUCCGUUUCUCGUUCCGCUUGUUUUGUUAUACUCUUGGAUUGCAACACUAAUUGAUUUCCAAAUUUCAAAGGUUAGUUCAAAACAAGUGAUUUUGCCGAAUUUCUAAAGUUGGCCAAAAACCAACUUAAAUCUGUCUUGGUAAUUCAAGUUACCAACUUUGAGCCAAAAUUUGAGUGCCUUUCACUUACAUUCGUGGAAAAGUGUCUUCUAAGAACUUUUAGUACUUUGAAAGAGGAUUCCAACAGUAAAGUUUUCCAAUUUUGGACUUGUGGAGAGUGAAAUAUGAUUUUUCAAAUAUUACUUGUUAAAUCUGGAAUUUUUUAACUUAAAGGAAACUAAAGGUUUCAAACCCUCCAUUUUCCUUCAAUAUCAUUUGAUCGUUUUACAUUUGAUUUUAAAGAUGGAAAUCAGAUUUGUCUUGUAUUUUAAAACCCACUUUUGAACCUCGAGUUACACGAACUCUUAGACUUGCCUCUGCGUUAAUUUCUUAGAUUGUACUAGUGUACAAUUUUCCUCGAUAAUUAGAAUGAUUUUGAGUGGUAGUUGAUUAUUGUUGCUCAGGCACUCGAGGGAAUCUCCCAGAGGAACUCGGAGCGGACACCUAAAACGCUUGUUUGAGAACUACUCGCUUGUUUUGACUAGGUGAGUGUUCCAUAUAGGAAUACGUAAUUGGAAUAAGUCUAUGACAUGCUUAACCCAUGGUCAUUAAGUAUUUACCACACUCAUGCAUAUUUGAAUAAUGU
RNAcentral lists this long non-coding RNA (6010 nucleotides) under Coffea arabica (coffee). RNAcentral's name for it is "long non-coding RNA (CARA_LNC003017)". Lineage: Eukaryota; Viridiplantae; Streptophyta; Magnoliopsida; Gentianales; Rubiaceae. The record is from RNAcentral.